Molecule: long non-coding RNA, 971 nt
Filed under: Mus pahari (shrew mouse)
Lineage: Eukaryota; Metazoa; Chordata; Mammalia; Rodentia; Muridae
Description: lncRNA (MGP_PahariEiJ_G0003838.1)
Source: RNAcentral
GCCAUUGGCGUCGGAGGCACGAUUUGCCCAGCUUUCUAAGGAGGCGGAACUGGACAGAGCUCCUGGACCAGGCAAAUAGGAGCAAAGUUUUCGCGGCAUUCAUGGAGAUGCCCCAGCCACAGAGCCCACGGAAGAUCAGAGACACUGGACUCACACCACGGAGGGUCGGAACUCUUCUGCUGUGAAUCCCACCCAGAGAACAGAAGAGGAAGGGAACACCUGAAGGUGGAGUGGGGCUCCCGGAGCUAAUCUCUUCCGGACUCAGGUCACUGCAACCAAGGGCGGAGUAACCCGGGUGAGGCCGCCAGCCGGGAGGCUGAGAGAAGGGGUGGCCCAGCGGUCCCGGCGCCCCUAGACCGGCCGUCCGCCCCUGCUGUGACUCCACGCUUUCUUGGAGCCGGAUUCUUGCAUAUCUGUGGCUGCUUUGAGCGUCUCCAGGCCAGCGGCUCGUACAGCCAAGCGUGAAUAAGAAUAAGGGAGAUACUUAGGUCAGAGACUUAGACGCAUUUGACAAACAGACCUGCACCAUUCUGCUACGGUUGCUCAGGCAUUAUCUUGAGCCCCCUUUCUCUUUGGUGUUUUGGCAACCCACGGCGGCUAUUGGCAAGCUGCUGCUUUGCAGUACAAGCCAGAAAGCCAAGCAGACUCCCAGGGCCUGCAGAGGGUACGCUACACUGAGCAGCUACUUAGAGUACUCCAGGCUUGUGGUCCUUAGCCAGUGAGCACUCCUUGGGAGCCUGCUGAGACGGGUGCCUGCUCUGGACCUAGAGGCUGGUUGGCCUAACCUUUAGGCAAGAGGAAGGUAGUAGCAUGGACAGUGGCGGUUGUCACUAGAGAACCCACAUUCCUCAAAGUCAGUGUCUUGGGUCCAGGCAUCUUUCAUAAAACUGGUUGAGUUCACAGAAUUGUUUGGACUGGUUUUUAAAACUGGACAAAAGGCAAUUUUAAAUGACAGAAGAGGAAGUUUGAGG